This 360-nucleotide ribosomal RNA is filed under the name uncultured bacterium. RNAcentral describes it as "partial 16S ribosomal RNA". It matches the Rfam family "Bacterial small subunit ribosomal RNA", at positions 338 to 696 of the family's 1533-position model. The record is from RNAcentral.
CCUACGGGUGGCAGCAGUGAGGAAUAUUGGUCAAUGGCCGGAAGGCUGAACCAGCCAAGCCGCGUGAGGGAGGAAGGCGCAGAGCGUCGCAGACCUCUUUUGCCGGGGGACAAAAGGCCGGACUCGUCCGGUCCUGAGGGUACCCGGAGAAAAAGCAUCGGCUAACUCCGUGCCAGCAGCCGCGGUAAUACGGAGGAUGCCGGCGUUAUCCGGAUUCAUUGGGUUUAAGGGGUGCCCAGGCGGGCCUUUAAGCCGGCGGGGAAAUCGCGGGGUUAAACCCCGCCGAGCAGUCGGAACUGGGGGCAUUGAGUGCGGGGGAGGCAUGCGGAAUGCGCGGUGUAGCGGUGAAAUGCAUAGAUA